UUUCGAGACUUCUUCAACCGCAUACGGCCGUGCUCUCUUUGUUUCGCCUUAUACGCACUCAUAUUCCUGAAUCUAAUCAGAUCCUGUGAGUUUACUUUGUUUUCCUUCUUUUUUUUUUUUCAUUUACCUCUGGCCUUGUUUGUUUGGUGAGAAAACGGAGGGAAAAUGCUGGAAAGCCAGCUAUAUAACUGUGUCUACAUCUUGUAUUAACGAUAUGAUCUUUGUUCAUAAUGUGAGAGCCUCUGUUCAGCGAAAAUGAACUUCAAAUUAUAUUUUUUUCGCGUCUUUUUUCCUAUAUUAACUCUUCUUCGCUGCCAACCGGAAGGAUUAAUGGUUUUUUCCGUUUUAGGAAUUCGUAUUGUACUUUUCCUCUAGGGUUAGCUUGUUAUUAAACAACGCCUGCAAAAAGUAAAGUAAAUAAAAUAGGAUUUAUGGACUGUUCCAAUAAUCUGUUUUAUUGGUGUGGUUUGACCUGCAAAAAGUAAAGUAAAUAAAAUAGGAUUUAUGGACUGUUCCAAUAAUCUGUUUUAUUGGUGUGGUUUGUGGAUCAAUAGUCUUUCCCUUUCUUUGACCAUGAAAAUGAUAAAGUUAAUUGUUUGUUAUUGUUAUUAUUGCACACAACCUGUAGGUUAUGUGUAUUUUUCCUGUUUCUUUAGUGUAAAAAAUCAUACUGACGGAUUUUGUCUGAUGAAAGAUACAGAAAAUAACUUGUUGGUGUCAUCUUCCUAAAUUGUGGACCGCAUAGUUUAAUCACGUUUGCUUGCAUUAACACUUUUUGAUAUUGCUCUGUUCUGACAGG
This 799-nucleotide long non-coding RNA is filed under the name Manihot esculenta (cassava). RNAcentral describes it as "long non-coding RNA (MESC_LNC000900)". Lineage: Eukaryota; Viridiplantae; Streptophyta; Magnoliopsida; Malpighiales; Euphorbiaceae. The record is from RNAcentral.